Molecule: ribosomal RNA, 253 nt
Filed under: uncultured bacterium
Lineage: Bacteria
Description: partial 16S ribosomal RNA
Rfam family: Bacterial small subunit ribosomal RNA
Source: RNAcentral
UACGAAGGGUGCAAACGUUGCUCGGAAUUAUUGGGCGUCAAGCGCACGUAGGCGGCUUUGCAAGUCCCAUGUGAAAUCCCACGGCUUAACCGUGGAAGUGCAUGGGAAACUGCAGAGCUUGAGUACUUAAGAGGAUCGCGGAAUUCCCGGUGUAGAGGUGAAAUUCGUAGAUAUCGGGAGGAACACCAGUGGCGAAGGCGGCGAUCUGGGAAGAUACUGACGCUGAGGUGCGAAAGCGUGGGGAGCAAACAGG